UAAGCCACUCAUCCUGCCUGCGUGUCUUAUCCGUGACUGUGAAGACGAUAUCAUUUCCAUCUGACUCUCUUGCUGCAACACUUGCUUCUGCUUCAGUAUUGGUGUUUUCUGACCUUGAUUCUUAUCACCAUAAUUCUUCCGCUGUUCUUUAUUUUCAACUUAAAACAAUCAAAUUUUAUAUGACCCUUCUUCUUAUAAUAACUACAAAUCAGAUUCCUAUGUUUUGACUUUGAUUUAGGGCAUGUUUGGUUCGCCGAAAGUGUUGUAUCGAAAGCGAUAUUUUUAGAAAGUGACGCCUUAUCGAUUGUUUGGUUUACGAAAGUGAAUAUAAAAGUCACUUUACGAAAGUGGGCUGAUAAAGUGAGUUAUAACUAAAUCUCACUUUCUUGACAUCGGCUCAGUUAAGAGGUUAGUUAAGAGGUUAUAUUU
Molecule: long non-coding RNA, 429 nt
Filed under: Ananas comosus (pineapple)
Lineage: Eukaryota; Viridiplantae; Streptophyta; Magnoliopsida; Poales; Bromeliaceae
Description: long non-coding RNA (ACOM_LNC013747)
Source: RNAcentral